RNAcentral lists this non-coding RNA (30 nucleotides) under Mus musculus (house mouse). Lineage: Eukaryota; Metazoa; Chordata; Mammalia; Rodentia; Muridae. The record is from RNAcentral.
UCAACAUAUAGAAUAGUCUACCAUCCCAUG